Molecule: transfer RNA, 74 nt
Filed under: Acidiferrobacterales bacterium
Lineage: Bacteria; Pseudomonadati; Pseudomonadota; Gammaproteobacteria; Acidiferrobacterales
Also listed under: 1 other name
Description: tRNA-Gly
Rfam family: tRNA
About the family: Transfer RNA (tRNA) molecules are approximately 80 nucleotides in length.
Source: RNAcentral
GCGGGCGUAGUUCAAUGGUAGAACUUCAGCUUCCCAAGCUGACUACGUGGGUUCGAUUCCCAUCGUCCGCUCCA